Molecule: long non-coding RNA, 369 nt
Filed under: Homo sapiens (human)
Lineage: Eukaryota; Metazoa; Chordata; Mammalia; Primates; Hominidae
Description: non-protein coding RGMB-AS1:19
Source: RNAcentral
AGUCCUCUCUCCUGCGCCGCAUGCUGCCUCGCGCUCCCUUUCCUUCCCCCUCUACCCCCUUCCGCGAUUUACUGUUUCCUCGCGCCCAACAGAAAUGGGCGACCGCAAGUCUUACUCUCGCCGGCGUUACAAAGAAAGGAAGGAGGAGACCUGAACAGUACAUCCGGAGAAUCCAGCAAAGCAUACUACGGCAUGAACGUGCAAGUGGACAGAAUUAAAACACAUGCCAGAAACACUAAUGGAUUCUAAACAAGAUGCAGUUUCAUUUCCUGAGCCUAUACGUGAUGUUUUUAACUGUUCUCCAGUUAAUAUGUCUCCAUUUCCAGAAAUCUAACAGGAGAAUCUCUGACUGCUUAACAGAUCACCUAA